AUGUACUACAACGAUAGAGAGUAUUACUCUCCGUGCGUCCUCCACACGUUCUUGUACAACGAGGGGAGGUGGAUCGAGCCUACAAAUUUAGGUUGUGAGGCUAAGAAUUUCUCCAAUUGCGGGCCGCUCAAGCAUUCCGACGCAGUCGUGUGCCAAGGGACCGCGCACUGGCUUGUUGGGUACCAUCCAAGCCACCACAAUUACUUGCAUACUAUUGAUGUAGAUGUUGAGAAUUCCAAUGUCUCCAUGACGAAGAUUGUGACCCCGACUGAAGACAUUUUAUCUGGAACAUAUUAUGAACCGCAACUUAGUGUUGCUACCGAUGAGACACUAUCAUUGCUUUGCCUGCAAAGGCCAGGCCUCCAGGUAAAAAUAUGUAUGCAACAAGGCAAUGGAGGGAGUGAGAAUGGUGGUACAUGGCUAUACACCCGAGACGUCGAGCUAAAACCACCCAAGCAGAUUCGAGCAGAAGAGAUGCACUCGACCCUCUUGGGAGAGAAGAGUGGCACAUUGUUCGUCAAGGACAACUGCAUGAACGUGUACGCUGUCGAUCUCAAGACAGGGGUGAUGAAGAGUCUCACGUACCAAGGCAAGGUUACCCACGGGAAGGUCGUGCCCUUUGAGAUAUACUCGCCGAUGUUCUAA
This 645-nucleotide ribosomal RNA is filed under the name Triticum aestivum (bread wheat). RNAcentral's name for it is "partial small subunit ribosomal RNA". Lineage: Eukaryota; Viridiplantae; Streptophyta; Magnoliopsida; Poales; Poaceae. The record is from RNAcentral.